AGUGAACGCUGGCGGUAGGCCUAACACAUGCAAGUCGAACGGCAGCACAGGGGAGCUUGCUCUCUGGGUGGCGAGUGGCGGACGGGUGAGGAAUACAUCGGAAUCUGCCCAGUCGUGGGGGAUAACGUAGGGAAACUUACGCUAAUACCGCAUACGACCUUCGGGUGAAAGAGGGGGAUCGCAAGACCUCUCGCGAUUGGAUGAGCCGAUGUCGGAUUAGCUAGUUGGCGGGGUAAUGGCCCACCAAGGCGACGAUCCGUAGCUGGUCUGAGAGGAUGAUCAGCCACACUGGAACUGAGACACGGUCCAGACUCCUACGGGAGGCAGCAGUGGGGAAUAUUGGACAAUGGGCGCAAGCCUGAUCCAGCCAUACCGCGUGGGUGAAGAAGGCCUUCGGGUUGUAAAGCCCUUUUGUUGGGAAAGAAAUCUUUCAGGCUAAUACCCUGGGAGGAUGACGGUACCCAAAGAAUAAGCACCGGCUAACUUCGUG
This 490-nucleotide ribosomal RNA is filed under the name uncultured bacterium. RNAcentral describes it as "partial 16S ribosomal RNA". It matches the Rfam family "Bacterial small subunit ribosomal RNA", at positions 29 to 507 of the family's 1533-position model. The record is from RNAcentral.